GUGCCAGCCGCCGCGGUAAGACGAACCGUGCGAACGUUAUUCGGAAUCAUUGGGCUUAAAGGGCGCGUAGGCGGCGGCGUAAGUUGGAAGUGAAAUCCCAUCGGCUCAACCGUGGAAUUGCUCCCAGUACUGCGUCGCUCGAGGGGGAUAGGGGUCUGCGGAACUACCGGUGGAGCGGUGAAAUGUGUUGAUAUCGGUGGGAACGCCAGUGGCGAAAGCGGCAGACUGGACCCUUCCUGACGCUGAUGCGCGAAAGCUAGGGGAGCAAACGGGAUUAGAUACCCGAGUAGUCC
RNAcentral lists this ribosomal RNA (293 nucleotides) under uncultured bacterium. Its description in RNAcentral is "partial 16S ribosomal RNA". It matches the Rfam family "Bacterial small subunit ribosomal RNA", at positions 505 to 796 of the family's 1533-position model. The record is from RNAcentral.